UUUAGUCAUGUCGUCAACUCCUGCAGGCGGAGCCUCUGUAUCCUUUGGAUAGAUACUAGAAAUACUAGCAACAACCUGUAAUAAUAUAAUCUAUUCUCAAAAUUCUUCUAGAAAAAUCUGUGAAUCUUACUGCAAAGGUCCAUGGUAAAAAUAUCAUAAUCUUUUCCAUUUAUUGUGGUUUUAUAUGUAAUGAAUAUUAGUUUCUUACUGUUUUCCCGUUUGCAGUGACUAUUUUGGCAUUGGUGCCUUUGAUUUCAGUCACUUCUCCACUGAUCCAUGCGAGUUCUGGAUCCUCGACCCAGACAUGUGAUCCGAGUGUGAUAUUUACAGGAGUCCCCUAACAUUAUUUAUCAAAGAAAGCUUUUCAAUAGUCACAGUAAGAAGAAAAGAUAGUAUAUGCAACAGGAGGUUAAUGGGGAGGCUUACCAUAACUCAAGCUCUUCCAAGCUCUUACACUGAGAAUCUGCAGCAGUUGGAGAACAGAGAGAUAGAUCAAAAGAAAAGGUAAGAAGAAAGAGAUGAAUCAUAAAAAAAUAGGCGACUCUGAAUCAGAAGAUACUGGAGAUUCUUAACUUAGAAAGUGACUUUUCCCUCACCUAGUCACCUCUCGUCUCCACUAAGUCUCUUAACUCUUUUUUGCAGGUUUUAGAGCUUAAGAUGCAGUAAAGGCGGCGGCAAAUCAACUUCUUUCAGAUAUUCUCUCUUAGGUCAUUUGCUUUGAAAACCAUGCAUUCCAUAGAAAACUGUUUGGUGUAAGGUCACACUCUUCAUAUGUUUCUCCUUUUCAAAGCUUUAUGAUGCUUCCUUUUGAGUAUGAAUGGGGUCCUCGUACGUUGAACAAAAUGUGAAAUCUCUGCUUUUAGAACAAUAAAGUUGUCUGCUUUACAUUUUGAUAUUGCUACUGCACCAACUUUUCUCUUGAUCGGCCAUGGCCAGGUACUGUUUCGCUGUGAAAGUGAACUUCUUUCCUCUUUUUCAUUAAAAGACAAUAGUGCCCUUUACGUUUGUUUCCAUCUCUUACUGCAGAGCCAAAAGGCCUUUCACCAAUGUGUGGUGCUUAAACUUGAAGUCAUCACCUUAAAAGUGUAGACUUUGUCAAAUCUUAUAGAAAGUUACAUAUUUUUCCAUUUAUUUAUUUUCUGGGGUGUGUGAAGGUAAUGGCCGGUGGAGAAUCUCCGGUGGCGGUUAAGGCCGGUUUCUGAGACUGGACCAUUUGGAUUAACUUUUCCAGCUAGGUUUGGCUUUCUUUUCCCUCUCUUUUUUUAUUUAUGGUCGAAAGUUUUUAUUUUAGUUUUGUUAAGUAAUCUUUAAAUAUUCAAACCUGCAUCAUUAUCUGUCUAAUUUCUUGAUCCAAGAACAUCAUGAUUACAUGUGCAACCCUGUGUUUUAGCCUUUUUCCUUAAAUGAAAUAAAAAUAUAUCAUUGUAUCACUAAGGGA
Molecule: long non-coding RNA, 1438 nt
Filed under: Arabidopsis thaliana (thale cress)
Lineage: Eukaryota; Viridiplantae; Streptophyta; Magnoliopsida; Brassicales; Brassicaceae
Description: long non-coding RNA (ATHA_LNC000749)
Source: RNAcentral